RNAcentral lists this long non-coding RNA (778 nucleotides) under Marmota monax (woodchuck). Lineage: Eukaryota; Metazoa; Chordata; Mammalia; Rodentia; Sciuridae. The record is from RNAcentral.
GGUGGUGGAGGUAACUUUGGCUGUUGUGGAAACUUUGGAGAAAGAGGAGGCUAUGGUGAUGGAGGUGGUGGCAGCAGAGGUAGUUAUGGAGGAGGCGACGGUGGAUAUAAUGGAUUUGGAGGUGAUGGUGGCAACUAUGGUGGUGGUCCUGGUUAUAGUAGUAGAGGAGAUUAUGGUGGUGGUGGACCAGGAUAUGGAAACCAAGGUGGUGGAUAUGGUGGUGGAGGAGGAUAUGAUGGUUACAAUGACGGAGGAAAUUUUGGAGGUGGUAACUAUGGUGGUGGGAACUAUAAUGAUUUUGGAAAUUACAGUGGACAAUGGCAAUCAAAUUAUGGACCCAUGAAGGGGGGCAGUUUUGGUGGAAGAAGCUCUGGCAGUCCCUCUGGUGGUGGUUAUGGAUCUGGUGGUGGAAGUGGUGGAUAUGGUAGCAGAAGGUUUUAGAAACAGCAGAAAAGGGCGACAGUUCUUAGCAGGAGAGAGAGGGAGGGGUUGUCAGGAAAGCUGCAGGUUACUUUGAGGCAGUCAUCCCAAAUGCAUUAGAGGAACUGUAAAAAUCUGCCACAGAAGGAACGAUGAUCCAUAGUCAGAAAAGUUUACUGCAGCUUAAACAGGAAACCCUUCUUCUUCAGGACUGUCAUAGCCACAGUUUGCAAAAAGUGCAGCUAUUGAUUAAUGCAAUGUAGUGUCAAUGAGAUGUACAUUCCUGAGGUCUUUUAUCUGUUGUAGCUUUGUCUUUUUCAUAACAUCAGGUAUAUUGCCCUAUAAACUGUGGUAGUGG